This is a long non-coding RNA of Carassius auratus (goldfish), 1869 nucleotides long. The record is from Ensembl. NCBI's taxonomy places the organism in Eukaryota, Metazoa, Chordata, Actinopteri, Cypriniformes, Cyprinidae.
GUACCACUUUUGGUAACAUUGUUCACCAGACUCCUUCUAAAUCAAUAAAGGACCGAGACAAAUCAGCUGUGUUCAUAUGUUCACACGAUAUAGCAAGUUAUUUCCAAAUGAUGUGGUACAAACAAACCCAGAGCACCCUGGAAUUAAAACUAAUGGGAAUCCUUAAUGGUGAAAAUGAUCAAAUAGAAACAGAAUUUAAAAACAAGAUUUUUCUGAAUGGAAACGGAAGGCGUAACGGCACUCUAACAAUUAAAACCCUCACAGUGAAUGACAGUGCGGUGUAUUUCUGUGCAGCAUAUGACACAGUGCUCUAAACUCCCUCCGUCUAAUACAAAAACUUGGCACUGUUACAGAAAUAGUUUAUCAACAAAAAGAUCCAGCCUUUGCUUUCUAACUAUAUUUGUCGCAACCUUUUGAUUCUUUGCCAAUAAUGAGCAAUAAUGAGAUGUGGGUGUAAAAGAAAAUAUCUUACCAGUGUGUGAUUCUAAGCAAUUAUUAUUGCUUGUGCUUACUAAAGAAAGCAUCAUUAUUACUCACACUUCCUAAUAUUAAUGACUGGUCAUUUACACAAACCCUUCAAAGUGAGGUGAAUGAAUGAAGCAUUUACAUAGAGCUGUAUUGUGUAUUGCUGUACACCCAAAGCACUUUACAAUCAUAUCAUGGGAUCUCUCCUCAACCACCAGCAGUGUGCAGCAUCCACCUGGAGUACAGAGUACAACGGCACCAGCGCACUCACCACUCACCAGCUAAAGGUGGAGAAGAGAGAGACAGAUAUUUGAAUUAGAAAAAAAUAUUUUAUUAAUAAUCAGAGCUUGGAGUAAUAAUAUGCAUAUUAUUAUUCGUUACUGUAACCACCUAUGAUGUCAUAUCCUGUUCAACAAAAGCUAGAGUUUGAAGCAGUUCAAAGGUUGAGACUCACUCUCCCAUCAAAACUCAACAUGACUAGUGCUAUUAUUACAUUGAUUCUGUUCCUGCGCUGCAGUCUAGCUGCUGUUGGUGGAGAUGAUGUUUUUCAAGAGCCUAAAAUUCUCUGGGAACCAAAGAACGGUUCUGCUUCUUUGAAUUGCAAUCACAAAAAGCCUAUUUCAUACAACCAGAUGUACUGGUACCGACAGCGUCCAGGAGAAACUAUGAGGCUCAUUGUAUUCACUGUGGCUGGUGGUAAUCCAGAAUUUGGAGAUGUUGAAAAGAAGAAAUAUGAAGCUCACAAAAGUGUUGCUGUAAGUGGAUCAUUGAAAGUGAAAGAUCUCGAGCCAGACGACAGUGGCAUAUAUUUCUGUGCCGUGAGUCAACACAGUGUGUCAAAGGCUGGAGAAUGCUGUACAAAAACAUUCGGUGCAGAAAAAGACAAUGACAGCAUUAGUCAACAGGUGGCAGUCUGGUAUAACAAUAAGCAACAUUUCAAAACAGUCGAACUGAAAAAAAUAAAAAAAAUAAACGCUUGUUUAUAGAAUAGAGAAGUGCAAAAACAUGUGCCAAGGAUGGCCAAACAAUACAUAACAAUUAUAAUUAGGAUAUAAAGAGAGAAGAGAAAAAAAACCUUAAAAAAAAAAAAAAAAAAAAAACAUUAUAUUAUAAUAACCAAUAUUUCAUACAGAGUAUAAUAUUAUUAAAAUAGAAAUUAUACAAAAAUUCCAAAAAGUGAUCAUAAAUUCAAGGUUUUAGUUGCCUUUUAUUACAGGAGGUUGAAAAAUAUUCAAUAUAGGCUUUUUCAUUUCAUUUUAUUGCCUUGUAUUUUCAGGGUUUGUAUUUUCAGGGUCUGAAAUUAACAUAGUCGUUUAUUUAAGCUGUGAAUAUUUCACUUCAAAACAUUUCACACACAAUCAUAAUAACAAAAAAAAAAAAAUCAAUGAUUCAUAUUCACCUUCC